UGCUGGCCUCGGGCCUGCACCGUUCUCUCCACAGAGGUGCUGGGAGGCGUCGCCCCCGCCUUUGGCCUGGAAUGUGCACAUGAUGGUAGGAGCUUGAGCAGCUGUCCUGGACCAUGAGGCAGUCUUGAAGAUGGAAGCCAUCACUAAGAUGGUGUAAUAAAAGUGAUGCAGGGCUGUCAUACACAAGUGCCUGUGACAAGACACUUGGGGAGAAGGUGAAAAAUGCUAAAGUUUGACCUGACGCCUGAGAGCUAAGCCAAGAGUCCUUGGAGAGAGCAGGAAACGGAAUCUUCCCUAGAGCCUCCAGAAAGAGAUGCAGCCUGCCUACACCUUGUUUUCAGCACAGUGAGACCACACCUGACACUUCUGACCUACAAAACCCCAAGCACACAGGGUGUCUUUGUGCAAAUAAUAAAUUUGUAUUGUUUAAAGCCAAUAA
Non-coding RNA from Vicugna pacos (alpaca), 439 nucleotides. Lineage: Eukaryota; Metazoa; Chordata; Mammalia; Artiodactyla; Camelidae. The record is from RefSeq and is a predicted model, not a curated record.